RNAcentral lists this small RNA (87 nucleotides) under Escherichia coli. RNAcentral's name for it is "partial RtT sRNA". It matches the Rfam family "RtT RNA", at positions 1 to 85 of the family's 130-position model. Rfam says of the family: This family represents a bacterial cis-regulatory element known as RtT RNA. The exact function of RtT is unknown although it is thought that it may be involved in changing the cellular response in relation to amino acid starvation. Lineage: Bacteria; Pseudomonadati; Pseudomonadota; Gammaproteobacteria; Enterobacterales; Enterobacteriaceae. The record is from RNAcentral.
AUUCUGCCCAAGCGGGGAAGGAUGAGAAGCUUCGACCAAGGUUCGACUCGAGCGCCAGCGAGAGAGCGUUGCCGCAGGCAACGACCC